RNAcentral lists this long non-coding RNA (244 nucleotides) under Salvia miltiorrhiza (redroot sage). RNAcentral's name for it is "long non-coding RNA (SMIL_LNC004419)". Lineage: Eukaryota; Viridiplantae; Streptophyta; Magnoliopsida; Lamiales; Lamiaceae. The record is from RNAcentral.
CAGGUGGCAGGAUAGGGUGGCGUGGGUGGUGAUGUGAUCUAAGAGAAAAAGAUCUAAGUAAAAUCCUUCAGUGUUGAUUUCUCUGUAUUUGAAAUACUGGUUUCGCGUUUCUGCUAAAAUCGAUAAAUGCUAAAUUAAAUCUGUAGAUUUAAUUCAUUCGACAUUCUAAUUCUUAAAUUAAAUCCGUAGAUUUAAUUAGCUUCAAAGUCGGAAGUAAUUCACGACUUAAGCAACAAUGUGAAAU